Molecule: ribosomal RNA, 393 nt
Filed under: uncultured bacterium
Lineage: Bacteria
Description: partial 16S ribosomal RNA
Rfam family: Bacterial small subunit ribosomal RNA
Source: RNAcentral
AUACGGAGGAUCCGAGCGUUAUCCGGAUUUAUUGGGUUUAAAGGGAGCGUAGGCGGACGCUUAAGUCAGUUGUGAAAGUUUGCGGCUCAACCGUAAAAUUGCAGUUGAAACUGGCAGUCUUGAGUACAGUAGAGGUGGGAGGAAUUCGUGGUGUAGCGGUGAAAUGCUUAGAUGUCACGAAGAACUCCGAUUGCGAAGGCAGCUCACUAGACUGUUACUGACACUGAUGCUCGAAAGUGUGGGUAUCAAACAGGAUUAGAUACCCUGGUAGUCCACACAGUAAACGAUGAAUACUCGCUGUUUGCGAUAUACAGUAAGCGGCCAAGCGAAAGCAUUAAGUAUUCCACCUGGGGAGUACGCCGGCAACGGUGAAACUCAAAGGAAUUGACGGGG